RNAcentral lists this ribosomal RNA (258 nucleotides) under uncultured bacterium. RNAcentral describes it as "partial 16S ribosomal RNA". It matches the Rfam family "Bacterial small subunit ribosomal RNA", at positions 524 to 776 of the family's 1533-position model. The record is from RNAcentral.
GACAGAGGUCCCAAGCGUUAGGCGGAAUCACUGGGCUUAAAGCGUGUGUAGGCGGACUUCUAAGUACCUUGUGAAAUCCCACGGCUCAACCGUGGAACUGCUUGGUAUACUGGUUGUCUUGGGCCAUCUAGGGGGCUAGCGGAACAAACGGUGGAGCGGUGAAAUGCGUAGAUAUCGUUUUGGAACGCCAAUGGUGAAAAACAGCUAGCUGGGGGAUGUGCCGACGCUGAGACACGAAAGCCAGGGGGAGCGAACGGG